AUACGUAGGUCCCGAACGUUGCGCGAAAUUACUGGGCGUAAAGGGUCCGUAGGCGGUCUGGUAAGUGGAAGGUGAAAGCCUGGGGCUCAACUCCAGAAUUGCCUUCCAAACUGCCGGACUUGAGGCAGGGAGAGGUCGGCGGAAUUCCCGGUGUAGUGGUGAAAUGCGUAGAUAUCGGGAGGAGCACCAGUGGCGAAGGCGGCCGACUGGAACUGUCCUGACGCUGAGGGACGAAAGCCAGGGGAGCGAACCGGAUUAGAUACCCUAGUAGUCC
Molecule: ribosomal RNA, 274 nt
Filed under: uncultured bacterium
Lineage: Bacteria
Description: partial 16S ribosomal RNA
Rfam family: Bacterial small subunit ribosomal RNA
Source: RNAcentral